AGCAACCCUGACUUUUGCUAAAGCGAUUCAGCCCCAUUGUAACCAUCGUUUCAACACCCUCUUUGUUUAUAGCCCGUGCUCCCUUUAUUCUCAACUUACAUUCCAACUUCUCUAGUUCUCAACCCUCGCUUCCUCUUUUCCCAUCCAUUCCUAGCCUCCUCGCCUAGCUUAGUUACCAGCUCUUAUCUUAACCUUAUUUCAGCUCUCA
Molecule: long non-coding RNA, 208 nt
Filed under: Physcomitrium patens
Lineage: Eukaryota; Viridiplantae; Streptophyta; Bryopsida; Funariales; Funariaceae
Description: long non-coding RNA (PPAT_LNC010327)
Source: RNAcentral